This 467-nucleotide ribosomal RNA is filed under the name uncultured bacterium. RNAcentral's name for it is "bacterial SSU rRNA". It matches the Rfam family "Bacterial small subunit ribosomal RNA", at positions 337 to 794 of the family's 1533-position model. The record is from RNAcentral.
UCCUACGGGAGGCAGCAGUGGGGAAUAUUGGGCAAUGGGCGAAAGCCUGACCCAGCGACGCCGUGUGGGCGAUGAAGGCCUUCGGGUUGUAAAGCCCUGUUGGGUGGAAAGAAGGAGCCAGAGACGAAUAAUCUUUGGUUCUUGACGGUACCACCAGAGGAAGCACCGGCUAACUCCGUGCCAGCAGCCGCGGUAAUACGGAGGGUGCAAGCGUUGUUCGGAAUUACUGGGCGUAAAGGGCGCGUAGGUGGUUGUGUAAGUCGGAUGUGAAAUCCCCAGGCUCAACUUGGGAACUGCAUCCGAUACUGCAUGACUAGAGUGCAGCAGAGGGAAACGGAAUUCCUGGUGUAGAGGUGAAAUUCGUAGAUAUCAGGAGGAACACCGGUGGCGAAGGCGGUUUCCUGGGCUGACACUGACACUGAGGCGCGAAAGCGUGGGUAGCAAACAGGCUUAGAUACCCUGGUAGU